RNAcentral lists this long non-coding RNA (1147 nucleotides) under Strigops habroptila (Kakapo). RNAcentral's name for it is "lncRNA (ENSSHBG00005009309.1)". Lineage: Eukaryota; Metazoa; Chordata; Aves; Psittaciformes; Psittacidae. The record is from RNAcentral.
GCAAAAAAUAACUGCUCGGUACUCAUUUCAGACAUAUCUACUUAAUGGUGUAUAACUGGGUGGCUUUCCCUGUAGAUCAAGUAGCAGUUAGCUUCCUCUGGUUUUAAAGUUGUACUACAGAUCUGAAUGGAUAAAGCUGCAUCUUCUAUGCACGCAGUUGUUCACAGCAAAGUUACUGUGCUCAAAUGCCAAAAGUCAGUAUCCACAUAUCUCUGAGGUAUUUGUGUGUAUGUGUUACACGGGUAAAAGCAACUUCAUUGAAACCCUCGUGGAAGCCACAACUUCUAAUUCUAAAAGUAUUUACACUUGUGCUUAUUCCUAAGCGUGUAGGUAGUUCCAUUCAGAUGGCCUACUUAUGUGCUUACAGAUAAGCUGUCAUUUAAAUGUUUGCAUUUGCAAGACCAGUGUUUGCAAAUUGAAGUGUAUUCAUUCAUGUUAUUUUUAUAAAAUAUUUUUAAUAAUUUCAUAAUAAUGAAAUAAAUAUUCAGCAACACUUUGUACAGAAUUUUCUGCAACCCCUUGUUGCUUAUUUUGCCUAAACUUAAAAGCAUCAAAACCCCUUUACACUCUUUUUUUUUUUUUUUUUUGUCUAAGUACAUACUAGGUAUCCAGACAGUACUAUACUCAGAAACUGAUUUUAUUACAGUAUUAAGUUGAUGUGGUCUUUUGCUGAGCAGUGCUUAUAUAAUCUACACCAAAGUGAAGAAUUUCCCAUUAACAACAUUAUUUUUCAAUAGGGCUUCACACAAAAAAAGAACACACUGGAAGAAUAAAAUUUCUCACUUAUUUUGAUUCCACAAAGGGAAUAUGACAGUACAGUGUACCGUAUUGUUAGUGUUAUAUUAUGCACAAAUAUUUGACUUGCUACAUAAAAAUGUUAGUUUUAAAUCUGUGCCUUAAUAGUGACCAGUUAUCUGUAAAUAUAGAGCAGAUACAGAUUGUAUUUUUGUGGGUUGUGUCCUUUUAGUGAUUUUUUUUUUUUUUAAUAAAAGAUGAAAUUAAAACAUUAAAAAUGGGAAUUUUCAAAACUAAUCAAUGUUACAUAAAAUAAAUUUAUAUAACUCCCUUGUAUUCUGAUUGGUCAAUGAAGUAUUUUUUUAUAUAGACCCAGUUCCAGGGAUGCUUGCUUUGUUAAUAAAAUAUAAAA